ACAUUUCUUUAUAUCUAUAUUAAAAAAUAUUAUGUUUUAGCAUUUUUAUUAUUUUUUUUAUGUUUUAUUUUUUUUUAGGAACCUUCAAGUAGAGCCGCCAGGCAGGAUCCCCCAGUCUCCCCCAGAGCUCAUGGGAGAACCCGUGGCGGUCGGGGACUUGGUUCCAGAGUCUCCAUAUAGACAACAAACUCCUUAUCCAGCUGGUGGAGGUGCGUCCCUCUUUAUGUGACCACACUGACCGCCACCAUGCCGACCAUUACCAUACCUGGCGGCUCUGGAGGCAGAUCUGUGAGUCGUUGUUCAUUGGUUGGGGGGAUCUCAAUGUGGCGGCUUAGAAAGAAUGUGUUGACAAGGACCGGGACCGCUUCAAGAGAGAUUAAAACAAGGAAGUUCAGGCCCCGAGUGGAAUGUGAGCCGCCAUAUGUAUAGAGUGCGGCCAUGGGGUUCUUGCGUUCAAUGCUGGCGCUUAGAAGCAGCACUCGGGCGCCUGAACCAGCUCUUGAAGCGGACCCGGAACUGUCCGCCAUCCCCAGCCUUCCUGUCCCUAAUACACCGGUUCGGGUUAAUCCUGGUCCCCUACCUGGUCCCUCUUUUCAGUAUACGCUCUCACAUUGGAGACAAAAUGUGAGAGCUAUGUUGAAUAGCAGGAGAUCAGGUAGGAGCCAUCUGGAGGAUUAUGGGAACCUUGUAGAGAUCGAUUCCGAUGCUCUAGAAGGUUUUGCAGAUGAAAUGAGGCGAGCGUCGGAUGACUUGGCAUGCUGACUGGAGAGAGCAGAGGCAGUCGCAUCAACUCACCCCUCACCAACAUUACGUGCAAACCUUAGUCCCCCGGAUGGACCAAAUGACUCCCGAGCAGGUGCAUGAGUUUAAAAAUUUGAUGUUGAAAAUUAUACACUGUCCCACACCUACCCCCCAUCCACCACCUACCCCCCAUCCACCACCUACCCCCCAUCCAACUCUUUCUACCCACCCCCUUUCUGCCAACCAUCCCAUUUCUUCAACACCUUCUCCUCCUCACUAUACCGCUCCAACUUCUUUUCCAACUCCAUCUUCAACACAUGCUUGGGAACAUUCCAGUUCCGACCCUUCAACUGUCCACACCCCUCAAAUCCCGUCUGCAUCUUUUCCUGCGGCCUGUCAUUUUUAUCCCUCCACAGAAGACAGGGGGGCUACCACUGCCGGUUCAAGAAUGUCCACCUCGCAACGCUCCACCUCCC
Molecule: long non-coding RNA, 1217 nt
Organism: Bufo gargarizans (Asiatic toad)
Lineage: Eukaryota; Metazoa; Chordata; Amphibia; Anura; Bufonidae
Exons: 4
Source: RefSeq, a predicted model, not a curated record